GAACUACUCCCUCGGUCCGAAAAUACUUGUCGGUGAAAUGAAUGUAUCUAGACGUAUUUUAGUUCAUACAUCAAUUUUUAUCCAUUUCUCCGACAAGUAUUUCCGGACGGAGGGAGUAGUAU
Non-coding RNA from Triticum urartu, 122 nucleotides. NCBI's taxonomy places the organism in Eukaryota, Viridiplantae, Streptophyta, Magnoliopsida, Poales, Poaceae. The record is from Rfam.